Molecule: unclassified non-coding RNA, 309 nt
Filed under: plant metagenome
Description: partial contains 5.8S ribosomal RNA, internal transcribed spacer 2, and large subunit ribosomal RNA
Rfam family: 5.8S ribosomal RNA (bases 1-105)
Source: RNAcentral
GAAAUGCGAUAAGUAGUGUGAAUUGCAGAAUUCAGUGAAUCAUCGAAUCUUUGAACGCACAUUGCGCCCUUUGGUAUUCCUUAGGGCAUGCCUGUUCGAGCGUCAUCUAAACCUUCAAGCCCUGCUUGGUGUUGGGUGCCUGUCCCGUCUCCGCGCGUGGACUCGCCCCAAAGUGAUUGGCAGCCGGCGUACUGGUCCCGGAGCGCAGCACAUGUCGCGCAAACGAGUGCCUUGGUACGGCGGCGUCCAUAAGCCCCUCUCUCACGCUCUUGACCUCGGAUCAGGUAGGGAUACCCGCUGAACUUAAGC